RNAcentral lists this ribosomal RNA (372 nucleotides) under uncultured organism. RNAcentral's name for it is "bacterial SSU rRNA". It matches the Rfam family "Bacterial small subunit ribosomal RNA", at positions 526 to 896 of the family's 1533-position model. The record is from RNAcentral.
CGUAGGUGGCAAGCGUUGUCCGGAAUUAUUGGGCGUAAAGCGCGCGCAGGCGGUUCCUUAAGUCUGAUGUGAAAGCCCCCGGCUCAACCGGGGAGGGUCAUUGGAAACUGGGGAACUUGAGUGCAGAAGAGAAGAGCGGAAUUCCACGUGUAGCGGUGAAAUGCGUAGAGAUGUGGAGGAACACCAGUGGCGAAGGUGGCUCUUUGGUCUGUAACUGACGCUGAGGCGCGAAAGCGUGGGGAGCAAACAGGAUUAGAUACCCUGGUAGUCCACGCCGUAAACGAUGAGUGCUAAGUGUUAGAGGGUUUCCGCCCUUUAGUGCUGCAGCUAACGCAUUAAGCACUCCGCCUGGGGAGUACGGCCGCAAGGCUG